Molecule: ribosomal RNA, 414 nt
Filed under: uncultured microorganism
Description: bacterial SSU rRNA
Rfam family: Archaeal small subunit ribosomal RNA
Source: RNAcentral
GUGCACCAGUCGAGAAAACUUCACACUGUGCGAAAGCACGAUGAGGGAAUCCCAAGUGCUUGCACGUAAGUGUAAGCUGUUUCUCUGUUUAAAACGCAGAGAGAGUAAGGGCUGGGUAAGACGGGUGCCAGCCGCCGCGGUAAUACCUGCAGCUCAAGUGGUGACCGUUAUUAUUGGGCCUAAAACGUCCGUAGCCGGUUUAAUAAAUGCCUGGGUAAAUCGUGUAGCUUAACUAUACGAAUUCCGGGUAGACUGUUAAACUCGAGACCGGGAGAAGCUAGAGGUACUCCUGGGGUAGAGGUGAAAUUCUGUAAUCCUAGGGGGACCACCAGUGGUGAAGGCGUCUAACUAGAACGGGUCUGACGGUGAGGGACGAAGCCCUGGGGCGCAAACGGGAUUAGAUACCCCUGUAGU